This 1067-nucleotide long non-coding RNA is filed under the name Homo sapiens (human). Its description in RNAcentral is "long non-coding RNA NONHSAT151799.1". The record is from RNAcentral. Lineage: Eukaryota; Metazoa; Chordata; Mammalia; Primates; Hominidae.
GCCCUCCUGACGCGACACUGCCCCUCUCCGAGAGCUGAGAAGGAAAAGAGGAGCUUGCGGAGGUGCGGCUGCAGGCCGUUGUUGGUCGAGCUGGCGGGUCCCGCGGGCCAGGCCGUGGAGGUGUUACCUCAUUUUGAAAGUCUUGGGAAACAGGAAAAAAUUCCUAACAAAAUGUCAGCUUUUCGAAAUCAUUGUCCACAUUUGGAUUCAGUUGGUGAAAUAACAAAAGAAGAUUUGAUACAAAAAUCCCUUGGUACUUGUCAGGAUUGUAAAGUCCAAGGACCAAAUCUUUGGGCAUGUCUGGAGAAUAGAUGUUCAUAUGUUGGCUGUGGUGAAUCACAAGUAGAUCACAGCACCAUACAUUCUCAGGAGACAAAGCAUUAUCUAACUGUGAACCUUACCACUCUUCGAGUAUGGUGUUAUGCUUGCAGCAAAGAAGUAUUUUUGGAUAGGAAAUUAGGAACUCAGCCUUCAUUGCCUCAUGUAAGACAACCUCACCAAAUACAAGAAAACAGUGUCCAGGAUUUUAAAAUACCCAGUAAUACAACAUUAAAAACUCCUCUGGUUGCCGUAUUUGAUGAUCUGGAUAUAGAAGCGGAUGAAGAAGAUGAACUUAGGGCCAGAGGUCUUACAGGUUUGAAAAAUAUUGGAAAUACUUGUUACAUGAAUGCAGCUUUGCAGGCUCUUUCUAAUUGCCCACCUUUGACACAGUUUUUUCUUGAUUGUGGAGGACUAGCUCGAACAGAUAAGAAACCUGCCAUUUGUAAAAGUUAUCUCAAACUAAUGACAGAGCUGUGGCAUAAAAGCAGGCCAGGAUCUGUUGUGCCUACUACUCUGUUUCAAGGAAUUAAAACUGUAAAUCCAACAUUUCGGGGGUAUUCUCAGCAGGAUGCUCAAGAAUUCCUUCGAUGUUUAAUGGAUUUGCUUCAUGAAGAAUUGAAAGAGCAAGUCAUGGAAGUAGAAGAAGAUCCGCAAACCAUAACCACUGAGGAGACAAUGGAAGAAGACAAGAGCCAGUCGGAUGUAGAUUUUCAGUCUUGUGAAUCUUGUAGCAACAGUGAUAGAGC